ACGAUUAAUCGUGAACCGCGAACGGCUCAUUAUAACAGCUAUAAUUUACUUGAUCUUGACUUCCUACUUGGAUAACUGUGGUAAUUCUAGAGCUAAUACAUGCACCAAAGCUCCGACCUUACGGGAAGAGCGCAUUUAUUCGAACAAAACCAAGCGGCUUCGGCCGUCCGCAGUUGACUCAGAAUAACUAAGCUGAUCGCAUGGUCUUGAACCGGCGACGUGUCUUUCAAGUAUCUGCCUUAUCAACUUUCGAUGGUAGUGUAUCUGACUACCAUGGUGGUGACGGGUAACGGAGGAUAAGGGUUCGACUCCGGAGAAGGGGCCUGAGAAAUGGCCACUACGUCUAAGGAUGGCAGCAGGCGCGCAAAUUACCGACUCUCAGAAUGAGGAGGUAGUGACGAGAAAUAACGAGACCGUUCUCUACGAGGCCGGUCAUCGGAAUGGGUACAAUUUAAACCCUUUAACGAGUCUCUAUGAGAGGGCAAGUCUGGUGCCAGCAGCCGCGGUAAUUCCAGCUCUCAAAAUGCAUAGAAUUAUUGCUGCGGUUAAAAAGCUCGUAGUUGGAUCUGUGCCGGUGGACCCGGUCCACUCGAAAGGGUGCGCACUGGGCUCCCCGGCUUUCUGCCGGUUUUCCCGUCGUGGCCUUAACUGGUUGCGGCGGGUGGCUGGCGAUUUUACUUUGAACAAAUCAGAGUGCUUAAAACAGGCGUUUCGCUUGAAUGUUCGUGCAUGGAAUAAUAGAAAAGGAUUUCGGUUCUAUUUUAUUGGUUUUAUAGACUGAGAUAAUGGUUAACAGAGACAAACGGGGGCAUUCGUAUUGCUGCGUGAGAGGUGAAAUUCUUGGACCGCAGCAAGACGAACUACAGCGAAAGCAUUUGCCAAGAAUGUCUUCAUUAAUCAAGAACGAUAGUCAGAGGACCAAG
Molecule: ribosomal RNA, 923 nt
Rfam family: Eukaryotic small subunit ribosomal RNA